UUUCCGGACUACGUCGAUUAAACUAUUGGACUACGACCUCGGAAAAAAUGUAAACAACGCGCUGCUGCGUUGCGGGUAUUUUAAUGCACAGAAGAGGAUUUUUCGUCAGUUGCAGCCGGACUAUUUUAUGAUUGACUGAAAAACAAUAUGCAAAAACACUUUUGUUGUGUCGAGGUGUAGAUCUGAUCCCUCAGCCUGUAGUCCUAAUGGAAAAAAAACUAAAAAGAAACUUCAUCGACCAUCAUCGACUGAAAGAGUUGUGGUCAGCUUGUCGAGUGAGAAUGGCUUGAUCAGAUCAACUGGUAUUAGCAUGGAAUAGCAAUCAGCAUGUCUUGACAAAUUCCCAGGAGGCAGAUCGGGAUUUCUACCCAGACUUAUAGUGUUGCUUCUCGGGCCCUGGAAUCUCUAAAGUCUGUGGAACUGAACAUCAGUUCAACCACACGAACCUUAAGAACUGUGUACUAUGAAGAAAACCAUCAACUCCGCAAAAUCUAUUACUGUUGUGCUUUCUCCUGUAACACAGGUAUUGUUUUAUGUUAGCAUUUAAUUAACAGUUGACAGUAGAUGCUACAUGCCAUGAGUGAGGACUGUUUAAAAAAAUUUCAAAUUGCAAAAGGAUUCAAGACUUUUUAGGGGGAUUUAUUUUAUGGAUGGUGUGUUGAAAAA
Long non-coding RNA from Pecten maximus, 666 nucleotides. RefSeq lists it as uncharacterized. NCBI's taxonomy places the organism in Eukaryota, Metazoa, Mollusca, Bivalvia, Pectinida, Pectinidae. The transcript has 2 exons. The record is from RefSeq and is a predicted model, not a curated record.